Molecule: non-coding RNA, 1304 nt
Organism: Cherax quadricarinatus
Lineage: Eukaryota; Metazoa; Arthropoda; Malacostraca; Decapoda; Parastacidae
Source: RefSeq, a predicted model, not a curated record
GCCAUGGUACGACUAUAUCGUCCUCCGUGAAAUAUAUUUUGAGUAAUCAGAAUAAUGCUUAUAUUAUGAUGUCUACCUUUAGUAAAACAUUCGAGAAUAAUUUCACUGUUACCUGCUUUUAAAAAUAGAUCAUCAACAAUAAUUAUUGUAUUUUCAUCAGGUGAUGCAAUGACAUUCUGCGGGUCGAUAAUAUCGUUACUUAAUGUUAAUUUAUGAGUUAUCUCUGAAUCUUGUUCUAAGGGAUGUGAUGUCACCCCGCAUAUUAUAAUGUUAUGAAAUUUCUCGUGGUAUAACUUUAUUAAUUUUGAUGUGAAAUAAGAUUUGCCACUAUUCGAAUAACCGGCAAUGAUAAUCCUUGAUGGAUAACGAAAUAUAUCAACGUCAGCAGAUGUGUAUGUUGACAAGUUCAACAUCUUCCCCUUAUUAUUUUAAAAUGAUCUAAAAGCUUCCUCUCUUUAAGUUGAAUGAACUAAAAAGGGUGUUUACCAUAGAGAGGCGUCUUGUACACUGUAAGUCUUAAUGGGUUUUCAAGAUAUAUAAUACUUUUAGUUCAAUAAGGGGACACAGUUAAUGUGGAGCAGGACUGCCUCACCAAAAUUAGUUGCUUUAGGGUGGCGAUUGACCCAGGUGUUCAUGAUUAUCUUAAAUCUACCUUGGGUGUGAACCGCAUUUCAUGGCGCCUGUCUGUCCUGAGUUGACGCAGGUGUUAUGUUCUACCUUGGGUGUGAACCGCAUUACACCAUGUGUUGGGGGAAGGGGUGACCCACAAUGAGUCUCUCAGAGUGAGGACAGUGCUUCCAUCCGUGACUGACCUCAUCUUUCCCCUUAUUAUUUUAAAAUGAACUAAAAGUUUCCUCUCAUUAAGUUAAAGGACCUCAUCUUCCAACGCUGAACCGCAUAUCAUGCUGUCUGUCUGACCUGUGUUGACCCAGGUGUUCGGUAAGGCGAUGAUUAUCUUAAAUCUACCUUAGGUGUGAACCGCAUUAUACAUUGGUGUCGGGGGGAGGGGGCGGCCUAUAUAAGCUCAAUGAGACACUCAGAGCGAGGACAGUGCUUCCAUCCAUCAUCCGUGAUUGACCUCAUCUUCCCCCCACAGUAUUCCUCUCAUUAAGUUAAAGGACCUCAUCUUCCAACGCUGAACCGCACAACAUGGAGAAAGGGGAUAGCAUAUAUUCGAAAUACUUGGAAGCAUUGGUGAAGAGAAGAUUAUCGAUUAGAAAGCAGCGUUCGUUGGUAAUCGAGAAAGGCGGUGUACAACGCAAUGAAAGGUUAUUGCAAUUGGAUAAUGAGUGGGCACGUGUAGA